This 871-nucleotide long non-coding RNA is filed under the name Cricetulus griseus (Chinese hamster). RNAcentral's name for it is "lncRNA (ENSCGRG00015034139.1)". The record is from RNAcentral. Lineage: Eukaryota; Metazoa; Chordata; Mammalia; Rodentia; Cricetidae.
CAGAGUCUCCCUGCUGCCGAAGGAGUAACAACAUGCAGGGGCAUUUCCAGCACCAUGUCUGCCUGCAUGCUGCCGAGUCCUGCCAUGAGGAUAACAGACUAAACCUCUGAACUGAGAAUGAGGGCAUCUAGCUAAGGAAUCUGAAGACCACUGGACAAAUGAGACAUCGGAAGAAAAAGGACACAUAAUCUAGGAAAAAUAGAAAGUCCCAAGAAAAAGAGUAAUUUGGUCUAUUGACAUUGACAUUUUCAACAGGAUAAAAUUUCAUAAAUCGGGCUGGAGAGAUGGUUCAGAGGUUAAGAGCACCGAUUGCUCUUCCAGAGGUCCUGAGUUCAAUUCCCAGCAACCACAUGGUGGUUCACAACCAUCCCUUAUGAGAUCUGGUGCCCUCUUCUGGUAUACAGAUAUACAUGGAAGCAGAAUGUUAUAUGUAUAAUAAAUAAAUAAACUCUGAAAAAAAUUUCAUAAAUCUUCCCAAAUGUUUGUUUCUGGUUUUCUCUACAGAGAUAUAAUGCAAAUGAUCUUUUUGUAGUCCCAGUCAAGCUAAAAUCAAAGCUUACUUUGGAGUUUCAGUGUGGCUCUCUUCUUCUCUAAACCCAAGCAUGUUUGUUAAAGUAACAUACCAAAUCUCUGUUUCAUGUCAGAAGAGCCACCUGAUAUGGGACAGAAGAAAAACAAAAAUUAAGGGACUAUUUUAUUUCCACUAAUCUCAUAAUCCUUUGGUUUUAUUUUGACUCUUGAAAGCUGUCCUUAAGGUAUAAACAUUAUCUUAAAAUUUAUAAGAUUAAUAUAUGUUAAAUUUUUGUCACAAUAUUAAUGGUCAUACAGAAUACUAGCUUCCUGUACAUGGUUCCAUGUUUGAAUCUCUAUC